RNAcentral lists this transfer RNA (72 nucleotides) under Camelus bactrianus (Bactrian camel). It matches the Rfam family "tRNA". From Rfam's summary of the family: Transfer RNA (tRNA) molecules are approximately 80 nucleotides in length. RNAcentral also lists the same sequence under 1 other name. The record is from Rfam by way of RNAcentral. Lineage: Eukaryota; Metazoa; Chordata; Mammalia; Artiodactyla; Camelidae.
GGGUAUAAAGCUCAGUGAUAGAGUGUGUGCUUAGCAUGUACAAAGUCCUGGGUUCAAUCCCCAGUACCUCCA